GAUGAACGCUAGCUACAGGCUUAACACAUGCAAGUCGAGGGGAAACGAUAUUGGAAGCUUGCUUCCGAUAGGCGUCGACCGGCGCACGGGUGAGUAACGCGUAUCCAACCUGCCCAUCACUUGGGAAUAACCUUGCGAAAGUAAGACUAAUGCCCAAUGACAUUUAUAGAAGGCAUCUGAAAUGAAUUAAAGAUUUAUCGGUGAUGGAUGGGGAUGCGUCUGAUUAGCUUGUUGGCGGGGUAACGGCCCACCAAGGCGACGAUCAGUAGGGGUUCUGAGAGGAAGGUCCCCCACAUUGGAACUGAGACACGGUCCAAACUCCUACGGGAGGCAGCAGUGAGGAAUAUUGGUCAAUGGGGCGAGAGCCUGAACCAGCCAAGUAGCGUGCAGGAUGACGGCCCUAUGGGUUGUAAACUGCUUUUAUAAGGGAAUAAAGUGAGCCUCGUGAGGCUUUUUGCAUGUACCUUAUGAAUAAGGACCGGCUAAUUCCGUGCCAGCAGCCG
Molecule: ribosomal RNA, 503 nt
Filed under: uncultured bacterium
Lineage: Bacteria
Description: bacterial SSU rRNA
Rfam family: Bacterial small subunit ribosomal RNA
Source: RNAcentral